UACGGGGGGAGCAAGCGUUGUUCGGAUUUACUGGGCGUAAAGGGCGCGUAGGCGGUCAGCACAAGUCAGUUGUGAAAUCUCCGGGCUUAACUCGGAAAGGUCAACUGAUACUGUGCGACUAGAGUGCGGAAGGGGCAACUGGAAUUCUCGGUGUAGCGGUGAAAUGCGUAGAUAUCGAGAGGAACACCUGCGGCGAAGGCGGGUUGCUGGGCCGACACUGACGCUGGGGCGCGAAAGCCAGGGGAGCGAACGGG
Molecule: ribosomal RNA, 254 nt
Filed under: uncultured bacterium
Lineage: Bacteria
Description: partial 16S ribosomal RNA
Rfam family: Bacterial small subunit ribosomal RNA
Source: RNAcentral